CGGUCGAUUUAAUUUAAUUCUAGUGGCGGACGGGUGAGUAACGCGUGGGUAACCUGCCUUAUACAGGGGGAUAACAGUCAGAAAUGGCUGCUAAUACCGCAUAAGCGCACAGAGCUGCAUGGCUCGGUGUGAAAAACUCCGGUGGUAUAAGAUGGACCCGCGUUGGAUUAGCUAGUUGGUGGGGUAACGGCCCACCAAGGCGACGAUCCAUAGCCGGCCUGAGAGGGUGAACGGCCACAUUGGGACUGAGACACGGCCCAGACUCCUACGGGAGGCAGCAGUGGGGAAUAUUGCACAAUGGGGGAAACCCUGAUGCAGCGACGCCGCGUGAAGGAAGAAGUAUCUCGGUAUGUAAACUUCUAUCAGCAGGGAAGAUAGUGACGGUACCUGACUAAGAAGCCCCGGCUAACUACGUGCCAGCAGCCGCGGUAAUACGUAGGGGGCAAGCGUUAUCCGGAUUUAUUGGGUUUAAAGGGAGCGUAGGUGGACUGGUAAGUCAGUUGUGAAAGUUUGCGGCUCAACCGUAAAAUUGCAGUUGAUACUGUCA
Molecule: ribosomal RNA, 547 nt
Filed under: uncultured Lachnospiraceae bacterium
Lineage: Bacteria; Bacillati; Bacillota; Clostridia; Lachnospirales; Lachnospiraceae
Description: bacterial SSU rRNA
Rfam family: Bacterial small subunit ribosomal RNA
Source: RNAcentral